UGGGGAAUCUUGCACAAUGGGGGCAACCCUGAUGCAGCGACGCCGCGUGAGCGAUGAAGCCCUUCGGGGCGUAAAGCUCUUUCGACCGGAACGAUAAUGACGGUACCGGGAGAAGAAGCUGCGGCUAACUACGUGCCAGCAGCCGCGGUAAUACGUAGGCAGCAAGCGUUGUUCGGAGUUACUGGGCGUAAACAGUGCGUAGGCGGUUUUCUAAGUUCGGUGUGAAAUCUCCCGGCCUAACUGGGAGGGUGCGCCGAAGACUGGGAAGCUGGAGUGUGGGAAAGGCAGGCGGAAUUCCUGGUGUAGCGGUGAAAUGCGUAGAUAUCAGGAGGAACACCGGCGGUGUAGACGGCUUGCUAGACCAUAACUGACGCUGAGGCACGAAAGCGUGGGUAGCAAACA
Molecule: ribosomal RNA, 402 nt
Filed under: uncultured bacterium
Lineage: Bacteria
Description: bacterial SSU rRNA
Rfam family: Bacterial small subunit ribosomal RNA
Source: RNAcentral